Pezoporus occidentalis (night parrot) is the source of this 444-nucleotide long non-coding RNA. RefSeq lists it as uncharacterized. The transcript has 3 exons. The record is from RefSeq and is a predicted model, not a curated record. NCBI's taxonomy places the organism in Eukaryota, Metazoa, Chordata, Aves, Psittaciformes, Psittacidae.
GGAGAGCAGGUACCGAUGCCUCCCGUUCGGGACACACCAUCUCGUCCCCAAAACACUUCAGCUUCGCUACCUUAGUGGCCUGAAAGGGAUUCCCCUAGUAGAGCUCUGCUGUGUUUUGCACAGGAAUCGCUCUGAAGACCGGUUUCGGUGCCUGGUUUAAAAAGAAGCAUCUCCAGCAAUUGCCUAAAGCAACCUGUGCCUGUUCUCCAGCGAGGAGUCCUGCCGGGGAACGGGGAGAGGGAAGUUGAGAGAAAAUGAGUUAUCGUUCAGAAAGAGAUGUUGCAGCACAGGACUCCGAGCUGUGAUUUUGAUAUUAAGCUCUAGGCUUGUUUUUUAAAGGACAGUUGAAUUUCACGUCAGACACAAGGAGUCCAUGGCUGCGAUUUUCCUGACGAAUACAUAUCUAUUCUGCAAGCUCGGCAUUAAUUAUUUAAUGAAUCACGU